RNAcentral lists this ribosomal RNA (265 nucleotides) under uncultured archaeon. Its description in RNAcentral is "partial 16S ribosomal RNA". It matches the Rfam family "Archaeal small subunit ribosomal RNA", at positions 717 to 982 of the family's 1478-position model. The record is from RNAcentral.
ACACGACUACAUUAGAUACCCCUGUAGUCCAGGGUGUAAACGCUGCGGGCUUGGUGUUGGGGGUCCUUUGUGGGCGCCCAGUGCCGGAGAGAAGUUGUUAAGCCUGCUGCUUGGGGAGUACGUCCGCAAGGAUGAAACUUAAAGGAAUUGGCGGGGGAGCACCGCAACGGGAGGAGCGUGCGGUUCAAUUGGAUUCAACGCCGGACAACUCACCAGGAGCGACGGUUACAUGAAGGCCAGGCUGAUGACCUUGCCUGAUUUUCCG